AGGAAGGUAGAUGAACCCGGUGAAUGGUAGAACCGGGGUAAGCGUGUAGGAGGAGGACCAGGUAAAUCCGGGCCUCAUAAACUCUGAGACGUGAUACCGAGCCGCUUCAGGCGAAGUCAUUGAUCCUAUGCUGCCUAGAAAAGCCCAGCAGCGAGUUGACAUGGUGCCCGUACCCCAAACCAACACAGGUGGACAGGUAGAGCAUACCAAGGCGAGUGGGAUAACUAUGGUUAAGGAACUCGGCAAAUUGCCUCCGUAACUUCGGGAGAAGGAGGACCCCAGUAGCGUGAUGAGACUUGCUCUCUGAGCGUGAAGGGGUAGCACAAAAUUGAGGGAAGCGACUGUUUACCAAAAACACAGCAGCGUGCUAAGCCGUAAGGCGCUGUAUACGCUGUGACUCCUGCCCGGUGCUGGAAGGUUACGGGGAUGGGUUAGUCCUUCGGGACGAAGCUCUGAACCUAAGCCCCAGUAAACGGCGGCCGUAACUAUAACGGUCCUAAGGUAGCGAAAUUCCUUGUCGGGUAAGUUCCGACCUGCACGAAUGGAGUAACGACUUCCCUACUGUCUCAACCAUAGACCCAGCGAAAUUGAAGUACGAGUAAAGAUGCUCGUUAGCUGCAGAAGGACGGAAAGACCCCGUGGACCUUUACUAUAACUUGAUGUUGUGUUUUGUCAUAUGUUGUGUAGGAUAGGUGGGAGACUUGGAAGCAUGGACGCUAGUCUGUGUGGAGUCAUCGUUGAAAUACCACCCUGCAUAUGGUGCGGCUCUAACCUAGACCCGUUAUCCGGGUUGGGGACAGCGUCAGGCGGGUAGUUUAACUGGGGCGGUUGCCUCCUAAAGAGUAACGGAGGCGCCCAAAGGUUCCCUCAGCCUGGUUGGCAAUCAGGCGUUGAGUGCAAUGGCAAAAGGGAGCUUGACUGCGAGACCUACAAGUCGAGCAGGAGCGAAAGCUGGGCAUAGUGAUCCGGCGGUUGCGUGUGGAAGCGCCGUCGCUCAACGGAUAAAAGGUACCCCGGGGAUAACAGGCUAAUCUUGCCCAAGCGUCCAUAUCGACGGCAAGGUUUGGCACCUCGAUGUCGGCUCAUCGCAUCCUGGGGCUGAAGCAGGUCCCAAGGGUUGGGCUGUUCGCCCAUUAAAGCGGUACGCGAGCUGGGUUCAGAACGUCGUGAGACAGUUCGGUCCCUAUCCUCUGCAGCCGGAGGUGAAUUGAGGAAAGCUGUCCCUAGUACC
Molecule: ribosomal RNA, 1231 nt
Filed under: metagenome
Description: bacterial LSU rRNA
Rfam family: Bacterial large subunit ribosomal RNA
Source: RNAcentral